AGGAUUAUAGUUUAAAUCAAACAUUUAAAUUGCAAUUAAAAAUUAUUAUUUAAUAUAAUUAAUCUUA
RNAcentral lists this transfer RNA (67 nucleotides) under Ceraclea indistincta. Its description in RNAcentral is "tRNA-Ala". Lineage: Eukaryota; Metazoa; Arthropoda; Insecta; Trichoptera; Leptoceridae. The record is from RNAcentral.